Gossypium hirsutum (cotton) is the source of this 107-nucleotide non-coding RNA. The record is from Rfam. Lineage: Eukaryota; Viridiplantae; Streptophyta; Magnoliopsida; Malvales; Malvaceae.
AUUUCAUGAUGAGGGCAUAUUUGUAAUAGUUCUUUAAACCUUUCACAUGCCAUAUACAAAGACUCGUCAUCCAUCUGUUGGAAAGUAGUGAUCUCGUUCCUCAACUU